GCUGAGGUGGGAGGAUCACUUGAGCCUGGGAGGCUGAGCAGUGAGCUGAGCUGGUGCUACUGCACUCCAGAGCCAGACUCUGUCUCAAAAAAAAAAAAAAGUACAAUUUUAAAUAAACCACUAGGAAUAAAAAUGAACAUUUGUAAACAUCCACUGUGCAUCAGGCAUCCUGCUAAGAACUUCAUAUCCAUUAUCUCUUUAUUCCUUUAUAAUCUAGCUAAGUAGUUGUGCUGUUCCAACUUUACAGAUGAGAAAACUAAGAGUCAGAGAGGUUAAGUAGCUUAUCUGAGGUUACCCAGCUACAAAGGAAUGAGACACAACCUUUAAACAACACCUUUGUGUAUUGUGUACAGACUAAAAUCCAAACAUGUUAGCAAAGCAUCUGAGGCCCAGUGCAAUGCCCCAAGCUACCUGUCCGCCUUCAUUUCCCACUCUACACUUCAGGUCCUCUUCUUUUUUUUUUUUUUUUUUUUUGAGACAGUCUCGCUCUGUUGCCCAGGCUGGAGUGCAGUGGCAUGGUCUCGGAUCACUGCAACCUCUGCCUCCCGGGUUCAAGAGAUUCUCCUGCCUCAGUCUCCCGAGUAGCUGGGACUACAGGUGCAUACCACUGUUCCCCACUUGUUUUGAAAAUUAUUACAAAAAAAUUAAUAAACACGCCAAAGUUCUGUUAACAGAGAAAUAAGUUAAAUGAACAAAAAGAGCCUCAACUAGUCUUCUGCUGUCCACCCUAUAAAACGUGUAAGUUCUUGUCCCGAUUUCAACACUACAACUUCUUCAACCUUAUUUACCACUAUUCCCCAACAGCACCCUCCAGUUCAAUCAAGAGAAUACAUCAGGCUUGCAUAUCAUGCCUAUUUCCAGAAUUUAUAUCACCUGAAAUGUCUACUCUCUAUGUAUGCAAAUCUUAUUCCUUCUUCAAAUCUCACCGCCUCUAGAAAGCAUCUGAAGAGUCAGUUACAGAGAUUAUUCCAUUUCAAUAUCCCUUAUUUUUGUAAAUAUGACAAGGAAACUUCUCAGUAGAGGCAGAAGGAGACAAGUUUAGAACAAGCCCUGAUUUGCCGGGGAAGGGUCAGAGGGACAGAAUGGAGAAAGCAUUUAAUUCUGCACCAGGUAAGGCAGGAGACCCGGAAAACUUCAAAGAGGUAGAUUUGAUUAGAAGUCAUGGGAAUAACAGGAGAACAUUAUACAAAAGUGAAAAACCUGAGCACAGAAGCAGAGCGCUGUGAAAAUACAUGGUGCUUUGAGGGACGAGUGAGUCAGAGAUAUCAAAUGCAAGUUGACUGGAAAGGGGAAUCGGGAGCAGAUUGCAAAAAGCCUUGAAUGGCAGAUAGCCUGAAUCCCUUAGAUCAGGGUGGAGGUGGCAGGGAGUCACUGAAGUCUUUAAACUGGAGCUAUGCAUUGAUGUUCAUUUUUGAAAUAUCAGUUGGCUUUCAAGACAGAGAGUCAACUGAAAAGAGAAAGGACAGACACCCAGUUAACACAAGGCAGAUAUUUCAAAAUGUUCACUGGCUGGGCACGGUGGCUCACACCUGUAAUCCCAGCACUUUGGGAAGCCAUUGUGGGAGGAUCACUUGAGAACAUCCUGGGCAAUAUAGCAAAAACCUGUCUUUACAGAAAUUAUUAUUAUUAUUGUUUUAUUUUUUUGUGUGAGACAGAGUGCAGACUGGAGUGCAGUGGCACGAUCUCUCAGCCUCCUGGGUUCAAGCGAUUAUCGUGCCUCAGCCUUCCAAGCAGCUGAGAUUACAGGCCUGUGCCACCAUGCCCGGCUAAUUUUUGUAUUUUUAAUAGAGACGGGGUUUUGCCAUGUUGGCUAGGCUGGUCUCAGGCGAUCCACCCGCCUCAGCCUCCCAAAGUGCUGGGAUUACAGACGUGAGCCACCGUGCUCGGCCUACUCUACAAAAAAAUUUUCAAAUUAGCUGAGGAUGGUGGUGUGCGCCUGUAGUCCCAGCUACUCAGGAGGCUGAGGCAGGAGGAUUGCUUUGAGCUUCGGGGUUGGGGCUGUAGUAAGCACCACUGCACUCCAGCCUGGAAAACAGAGCAAGGGCUUGGCUUAA
Molecule: long non-coding RNA, 2054 nt
Filed under: Homo sapiens (human)
Lineage: Eukaryota; Metazoa; Chordata; Mammalia; Primates; Hominidae
Description: HSALNT0356694
Source: RNAcentral